GAUGAACGCUGGCGGCGUGCUUAACACAUGCAAGUCGAACGGAAAGGCCCUGCUUUUGUGGGGUGCUCGAGUGGCGCACGGGUGAGUAACACGUGAGUAACAUCCCCUUGACUUUGUGAUAUCUUCAGGAAACUGGGGCUAAUACCGGAUAGGAGCUCCUGCUGCAUGGUGGGGGUUGGAAAGUUUCGGCGGUUGGGGCUGGACUCGCGGCUUAUCAGCUUGUUGGUGGGGGAGUGGCUUACCAAGGCUUUGACGGGUAGCCGGCCUGGGAGGGGGACCGGGCACAAGGGGACUGAGAGAGGGACCAGACGCCUACGGGAGGCAGCGGGGGCGAAUAUGACACAAUGACGGCGAGCCUGAGGCAGCAGCGCCGCGUGCGGGAAGACCUGCUUUGGGUGGUGAACCGAUUUCUCCUUGGAUGAGGCGUGAGUGACGGUAAUGUAUAAAGAAGCACCGGCUAACUACGUG
Molecule: ribosomal RNA, 468 nt
Filed under: uncultured bacterium
Lineage: Bacteria
Description: partial 16S ribosomal RNA
Rfam family: Bacterial small subunit ribosomal RNA
Source: RNAcentral